GCCAAAUGUUGCUAACCUUUGGGAACUUGAAUGCAUUUCCGAAUAGAAGUGCUUCUUGAAAGAAAAUAAAUAAAUGUGUCCCCAUGUUGAUAUUUUAUUGAGUUGUAUGCUGCUGAAGAUGUGGCACAAACUCAUAGUAUGAUUCAUUAAAGCAAUUUAGACGAUUAUCAGUCCUUUGCAAAAAAGAGCUUUUCAUCCAGAAACAGCAGAUGCUGUACUUCCCUUUGUCAUGGUUGGACUCUGAUAGUCCUCGCCCAGUCUCAACAUACUUUUUCCUUAAAGGACUGUUUGCCACUGUCUUGUUUUUUUGCUUGUUGGCUGGUUUUUAUAUUUUGGGGCUUGGUGGGGGGGGAGGCGAGAUUUUUGAUCUGCGCUUCUAAGUUGGAAAUUAUUUUGUACCACUUCGUAAAAUCACAGUAUCACAACAACGAAUCUGUGGAAGUUUAGUAAGGUAAGGAGUGAAAUAAGGUGUAGAGGUUUAAAAAAAGACAAAAACACUUUUUUGUCUGUAGGCUUUAGUAUCCCCAACUGAAAUAUGCCUCAGGUUUCUCCAGAUCCCUGUCUCUUCUCCUUAGGGGUAACCAAAGAAGGCAGCAAGAAGGUAACACCACUGCUAGGACUGCUUGCCCUCACGGCUUCAUUCCAAAGUGAGAGAGAGGCAAGCGUGUGGGCCUCUGCAGCCAACACAUUGAGUGAAGGCACAGGCUCCUUUGGGGAAGAAAUGUCAGGUCUUCUUCUCUUCUCUGAAGGAAACUUCCCUUCAAGACUCAGACUGCUGGACCUCAGAAAUUUUAAUAAGGAAGCAAGCCCCUCUGUUUUUAUGGAAUUGAAUUCAUCUGCUAGCAUGCAUUUUGCAUUUGUCUUAUCAAGAUAUCUUGGUAAGAAAUCUGCUCUUGGUUUUUUAAUGUUGGUCAAAGAGGAAACUUGAGGGGCUUAUACAUAGUUCCUUGUAUCAUAAUAUCUGUCACUCAAAGAUUUAGGAUUGUGGAAAUUCUAUAAUUUGCUAAGUACAUUUGUGACAAUUACAUGCACAGAAGUUGGAAAAUAGCCAGAUAAUGGUUUUGAGGCACCAAUGAGCUAUCCAAGAAGUUGAAUUGGAUCAAAAUUUCUUUCAUUUGAUCCACAUAAGCUUCAAUUCUGACUGAUGGACAAAAGUGAUGCGUGGGACCCAAGGAUUUAGGUCUGUUCAGGUCCAUUUCCAACAAUGCCUGAAAUAUGUGAUCAUUUCUGUUUUCCCAGAACAUAGUUACUAGGGUAAAUGGCCACAUGACAUUUUGGAAGACACUUAGAAGGGUAUCAUACAUUCUUGUGAGAUGGGCAACUGCUCCUUCCUCAAGAAAGCCAUCCCUCUUUUCAGAGGUUUUAGUCUGUGAACAGACUAAGUUUUGAG
This 1390-nucleotide long non-coding RNA is filed under the name Felis catus (domestic cat). RNAcentral describes it as "lncRNA (ENSFCAG00000050806.1)". Lineage: Eukaryota; Metazoa; Chordata; Mammalia; Carnivora; Felidae. The record is from RNAcentral.